AUUGAACGCUGGCGGCAGGCCUAACACAUGCAAGUCGAACGGUAACAGGGAUCAGCUUGCUGAUUCGCUGACGAGUGGCGGACGGGUGAGUAAUGUGUGGGAAACUGCCUGAUGGAGUGGGAUAACUACUGGAAACGGUAGCUAAUACCGCAUAACGUCGCAAGAACAAAGAGGGGGACCUUCGGGCCUCUUGCAAUCGGAUGUGCCCAGAUGGGAUUAGCUAGGAGGGGGGUUAAAGGCUGACCUAGGUGACGAUCCCUAGCUGGUCUGAGGGGAUGGCCAGCUACCCGGCAAGUGAGGCACGUUCCAGACUCCUACGGGAGGCAGCAGUGGGGACUAUUGCGCGAUGGGGCCAAGCCUGAUGCUGCCAUGCCGCGUGUAUGAAGAUGGCCUUCGGGUUGUAAAGUACUGUCAGCUGGGAGUAAGGGAGUAAAGAUAAUCCCUUUGCUCAUUGACGUUACCCGCAGAAGAAGCCCCGGCUAACUCCGUG
This 490-nucleotide ribosomal RNA is filed under the name uncultured bacterium. RNAcentral describes it as "partial 16S ribosomal RNA". It matches the Rfam family "Bacterial small subunit ribosomal RNA", at positions 30 to 507 of the family's 1533-position model. The record is from RNAcentral.